UACGGGGGGGGCAAGCGUUGUUCGGAAUUGUUGGGCGUAAAGGGCUCGUAGGCGGUCUGUUGCGUCAGGAGUGAAAACUCGGGGCUUAACCCCGAGCCUGCUUCUGAUACGGGCAGACUAGAGGUAUGCAGGGGAGAACGGAAUUCCUGGUGUAGCGGUGAAAUGCGCAGAUAUCAGGAGGAACACCGGUGGCGAAGGCGGUUCUCUGGGCAUUACCUGACGCUGAGGUGCGAAAGCGUGGGGAGCAAACAGG
RNAcentral lists this ribosomal RNA (253 nucleotides) under uncultured bacterium. RNAcentral's name for it is "partial 16S ribosomal RNA". It matches the Rfam family "Bacterial small subunit ribosomal RNA", at positions 524 to 776 of the family's 1533-position model. The record is from RNAcentral.